UUGCUUUGGCAGCAAAUAUACAACAAUACAGAGAAGAUUAGCCCCUGCACAAGGAUGACAUGCAAAUUCUGAAGCGUCCAUAUUUUU
Tupaia belangeri (northern tree shrew) is the source of this 87-nucleotide small nuclear RNA. The record is from Ensembl. Lineage: Eukaryota; Metazoa; Chordata; Mammalia; Scandentia; Tupaiidae.